This 388-nucleotide ribosomal RNA is filed under the name uncultured eukaryote. Its description in RNAcentral is "partial 18S ribosomal RNA". It matches the Rfam family "Eukaryotic small subunit ribosomal RNA", at positions 592 to 976 of the family's 1831-position model. The record is from RNAcentral.
CAAUAGCGUAUAUUAAAGUUGUUGCAGUUAAAAAGCUCGUGGUUGGAUUUCUGAUCGAGACAUCAGGUCGGGUCCGAGAGGAUCAUGUACUUUGAUUUUGUUUUGAUCAUCCUUGGGGAGAGCAUUUCUGGCAUUCAGUUGUCGGGAUUGGGAUCCUCAUCGUUUACUGUGAAAAAAUUAGAGUGUUCAAAGCAGGCCUCGGCCUCUGAAUACAUUAGCAUGGAAUAAUAAGAUAGGACUUUGGUGGUCUAUUUUGUUGGUUUGCACGCCAAAGUAAUGAUUAAUAGGGAUAGUUGGGGGUAUUCGUAUUCAAUUGUCAGAGGUGAAAUUCUUGGAUUUAUGGAAGACGAACUACUGCGAAAGCAUUUACCAAGGAUGUUUUCAUUAA